This 372-nucleotide ribosomal RNA is filed under the name uncultured organism. RNAcentral's name for it is "partial 16S ribosomal RNA". It matches the Rfam family "Bacterial small subunit ribosomal RNA", at positions 527 to 896 of the family's 1533-position model. The record is from RNAcentral.
GUAGGGUGCAAGCGUUAAUCGGAAUUACUGGGGCGUAAAGCGUGCGCAGGCGGUUUUGUAAGGUCUGAUGUGAAAUCCCCGGGGCUCAACCUGGGAACUGCAUUGGAGACUGCAAGGCUAGAGUGUGUCAGAGGGGGGUAGAAUUCCACGUGUAGCAGUGAAAUGCGUAGAGAUGUGGAGGAAUACCGAUGGCGAAGGCAGCCCCCUGGGAUAACACUGACGCUCAUGCACGAAAGCGUGGGGAGCAAACAGGAUUAGAUACCCUGGUAGUCCACGCCCUAAACGAUGUCUACUAGUUGUCGGGACUUAAUUGUCUUGGUAACGCAGCUAACGCGUGAAGUAGACCGCCUGGGGAGUACGGUCGCAAGAUUA